RNAcentral lists this unclassified non-coding RNA (320 nucleotides) under plant metagenome. RNAcentral's name for it is "partial contains 5.8S ribosomal RNA, internal transcribed spacer 2, and large subunit ribosomal RNA". The stretch from base 1 to 105 matches the Rfam family "5.8S ribosomal RNA", at positions 50 to 154 of the family's 154-position model. The record is from RNAcentral.
GAAAUGCGAUAAGUAGUGUGAAUUGCAGAAUUCAGUGAAUCAUCGAAUCUUUGAACGCACAUUGCGCCCGCCAGUAUUCUGGCGGGCAUGCCUGUUCGAGCGUCAUUACAACCCUCAGGCCCCCGGGCCUGGCGUUGGGGAUCGGCGGAAGCCCCCUGCGGGCACAACGCCGUCCCCCAAAUACAGUGGCGGUCCCGCCGCAGCUUCCAUUGCGUAGUAACUAACACCUCGCAACUGGAGAGCGGCGCGGCCACGCCGUAAAACACCCAACUUCUGAAUGUUGACCUCGAAUCAGGUAGGAAUACCCGCUGAACUUAAGC